GUUCCUCAACAGAAAGUUGGGGUGCUCUAAACCAAUACGAUGUAAGGACUGGACAAAGAGAGAAAAACAGUCGCCAGGGCUGGGUUGGCUGCAGACUUCUGACAGUCAAGACCUCUUCGGACUCUCUGGCUCUCAACUGUGUUUCUGUGGAGACUGAAAACCUCCAAAAGCCACCUUCUCUCAGCCCAGGCUGGCUGUGUCCUGGAAAGCCCACCAGCACCUUCCAGUCAUGUUUCUGUGACUGGGUCAGGCCCUUUUAGGAAUACUCCCUUCAGCCCUAAGACAGGGGGAGGUGACAGUGCCAGACUGGACCCAGGCUGCCAGGGACAGUGGAGCUCUUCUGUGCUGUGGGACUUGGUCCCAGACCCCAGGGGAAUCUACUGCGGAUACAAAUGCAAGAUCGGUGAAGUUCCACAUGGGCUUCCCUCAAGGCUGAUGGAGUUUCCCAUUCACUAGAAGCAAUGAAGGCUGAAGUUUGAUUCCAGUUUGCAACACAAUGGAUUCUCAAGAGUAAAUGCAUUACCGUGGGUCAACAGCUCAGCUCGGUUCCUGUACCGCUGUCGUGUACCCUGCGAGAGUACCUUGCAAGAGAGAUCCUGCAAGCUGUGCGUCUAACACCAUGUCAAGACCUUUCAAUGAAUCCCUUUAGCUUUCUGGUGAAGUUCUAAACUCAACUAAGCAUACAGUUCCCAUCUUCCUCUCCAGUUUGCUUUCUGCCUCUCUUCCUCAUAGAGUCCAACUAUACUGAAACUCAUCCUCUCCCGGGCUACAGUGGGCUAAGUCAGGACCUCUUUGACGUUUACUAUACUCUAAAUACCUUUCCUCUUGCUUCUAUUGGAUGCCAGCUUUAGCAUCCUUUACUCCCCUAGAUUGUUAGUACUCUGUGUCCUCAACACACCAGGUUCCCCCUCUUAGCGCCUGUCACAUGCAAUUGAAAUUGCUGGGUACCAGUCUGUCUCCUAGAUAAUGUGGCUGCUGGAGCCUUGUGACUCCUGAGGGCGUCUCGUGCUGGAGAUGACCUACAAGUAAAUCUCUCAUAGCAACUUUUGCCCAAGGAAUGGAAAAGAAAGGAACUGUCUAUGUGGGAGGAGAGGAAGAGACACAGAAACUGCAGUGCUUCUUGGCUGAGUUGAGAUUUAAUUUAGUGAUAGACAGCCACAAAUCCCCCACCCCACUCACCCAUAGGUGCCCUCACACACAGCUUUCCACACCACCCGUUGCCCAGUUUCCCAUUGGUUUUUUUUUUCUUCCUUUUAGAUGAGAGUAACGGGUUUGGCCUGUGUCUCACAGUCCUUAGAAGUGAAAGUAGACCGGGAGGCAGGUCAGUUCUCCGAGAGGAUUUCCUUGCUGUGCACCCCGCUCGCCACCCUGCACCAGUCCUGUCCCCGUGACCCAGGUUUAGCAUGCAUCAGUGAAAUGUCCUCCAAUCUGAGCUGAUCUUUCUGCUAAUACAAAGUGGCAGCUUUUAAAUAGAGUAGCCUCCAAUUGUCACUUCCAAUCACAGGCUCUGCUGAGGGAGACUUAGAAAGACUUAAUCGUCUUAAGAAAACAAACAGAGGCCUUCCUGCUGAAGAGCAGCAUGCCCACAGAUAGACAGAUAGACAGACAGGAGACAGGACCAAAGCUGGCAUGCCCAAGAUCCUUCCUGUAAUCCACCCCUCACUACCCCAGCACUCACAGACCAGGUCCCGGCGAGUAAAACCGACAACUCGACACGUCCCUCAUCCUUUCCAAUUAGCUUCUCCUCCUGCUCUCUCCCUCUUGCUGUCUGUCUCCCUGUGUGCGUCUGGACCUUUUAAAGGCAUGAGGUAUCUGCUGCUAAUCCCUAAACAACUCUUCCUCCUCAUCUCAGCUGACCUCAGACCAUUAAAAUUUAGAAUGUGACAGAUGAAGAGAGAAGCCCAGUCUAAUAUCUUCAUUUUGUAAGAGUGGGAGGAAGUCCAGCAGGGGAGAUAGAGUCAUUUGCAAACGGACUCCUAGGCUGGAGCCGAACCCAGAUCUCCUGAUUCCGAUCCCAGGUCUCUUCUGCUAUGCCAGUGCUCUCCAACUGCCUACCCACCUGCAUCUCUGCCGCCUGCGUAUGUGUGUCUAUAUUGUGUAUGCAUGCACACAUGCGUGUAUGUA
Mesocricetus auratus (golden hamster) is the source of this 2124-nucleotide long non-coding RNA. RefSeq lists it as uncharacterized. The transcript is spliced from 4 exons. Lineage: Eukaryota; Metazoa; Chordata; Mammalia; Rodentia; Cricetidae. The record is from RefSeq and is a predicted model, not a curated record.